AUAUAACUAAAUUAUAUAAAACACUUGUUGGUAGCCCCGUUUUAAAUAUAACACAAGGAACAGAUCCUAAUGUUCGAGUCUAUGCUCAUUGUACUAAUACACUCAGGGCUAGGGGUUAUGAAGCUGGGAGUGUUACAGUAUAUUUAAUGAAUAUCGGAACUGAACCGGUUACAGUAGAUAUCAAUGGCGGAACAACUAAACAUCUAUAUAUAUUAUCACCUGGUGAUGAUAGAGGUCUUACAUCACAGUCACUAAAGCUUAAUGGAAUACUUCUCACGAUGCCAACAGAUCGACAGUUACCUCCCCUUAACCCAAUGAUACACAAUGGACCAAUUGAGUUACAGGGUUACGGAAUGUCAUUUGUUGUCAUGGAAGCCAGGAAGAAAGAAUGUUUCUAAAAAAAAAUAAUAAAAUGUUGAC
Long non-coding RNA from Patella vulgata (common limpet), 420 nucleotides. RefSeq lists it as uncharacterized. The record is from RefSeq and is a predicted model, not a curated record. The transcript is spliced from 3 exons. Lineage: Eukaryota; Metazoa; Mollusca; Gastropoda; Patellidae.